GAUGAAGAACGCAGUGAAAUGCGAUACGUAAUGUGAAUUGCAGAAUUCAGUGAAUCAUCGAGUCUUUGAACGCACAUUGCGCCCCCUGGUAUUCCGGGGGGCAUGCCUGUCCGAGCGUCAUUGCUGCCCUCAAGCACGGCUUGUGUGUUGGGCCUCCGUCCUCCUCCCGGGGGACGGGCCCGAAAGGCAGCGGCGGCACCGCGUCCGGUCCUCGAGCGUAUGGGGCUUCGUCACCCGCUCUUGUAGGCCCGGCCGGCGCUUGCCGACACAUCAAUCUUUUUUCCAGGUUGACCUCGGAUCAGGUAGGGAUACCCGCCGAACUUAAGCAUAUCAAUAAGCGGAGGA
Molecule: unclassified non-coding RNA, 345 nt
Filed under: soil metagenome
Description: partial contains 5.8S ribosomal RNA, internal transcribed spacer 2, and large subunit ribosomal RNA
Rfam family: 5.8S ribosomal RNA (bases 1-120)
Source: RNAcentral